RNAcentral lists this ribosomal RNA (80 nucleotides) under Methylobacterium sp. 189. RNAcentral describes it as "partial 23S ribosomal RNA". Lineage: Bacteria; Pseudomonadati; Pseudomonadota; Alphaproteobacteria; Hyphomicrobiales; Methylobacteriaceae. The record is from RNAcentral.
AUCAAGUGCCUUAAGAGCAUCUGGUGGAUGCCUUGGCGCUGAGAGGCGAUGAAGGACNUGGUACGCUGCGAUAAGCCUUG